This 78-nucleotide transfer RNA is filed under the name Wolbachia pipientis. RNAcentral describes it as "tRNA-Arg". It matches the Rfam family "tRNA". From Rfam's summary of the family: Transfer RNA (tRNA) molecules are approximately 80 nucleotides in length. Their secondary structure includes four short double-helical elements and three loops (D, anti-codon, and T loops). Further hydrogen bonds mediate the characteristic L-shaped molecular structure. tRNAs have two regions of fundamental functional importance: the anti-codon, which is responsible for specific mRNA codon recognition, and the 3' end, to which the tRNAs corresponding amino acid is attached (by aminoacyl-tRNA synthetases). tRNAs cope with the degeneracy of the genetic code in two manners: having more than one tRNA (with a specific anti-codon) for a particular amino acid; and 'wobble' base-pairing, i.e. permitting non-standard base-pairing at the 3rd anti-codon position. RNAcentral also lists the same sequence under 109 other names. The record is from RNAcentral. Lineage: Bacteria; Pseudomonadati; Pseudomonadota; Alphaproteobacteria; Rickettsiales; Anaplasmataceae.
GCACCCUUAGCUCAGUUGGAUUAGAGCAUUUGACUACGGAUCAAAAGGUCGGGCGUUCAAGUCGCUCAGGGUGCACCA